UGCAGUCGAGGGGCAGCAUAAUGGAUAGCAAUAUCUAUGGUGGCGACCGGCGCACGGGUGCGUAACGCGUAUGCAACCUACCUUUAACAGGGGGAUAACACUGAGAAAUUGGUACUAAUACCCCAUAAUAUCAUAGAAGGCAUCUUUUAUGGUUGAAAAUUCCGAUGGUUAGAGAUGGGCAUGCGUUGUAUUAGCUAGUUGGUGGGGUAACGGCUCACCAAGGCGACGAUACAUAGGGGGACUGAGAGGUUAACCCCCCACACUGGUACUGAGACACGGACCAGACUCCUACGGGAGGCAGCAGUGAGGAAUAUUGGUCAAUGGACGCAAGUCUGAACCAGCCAUGCCGCGUGCAGGAUGACGGCUCUAUGAGUUGUAAACUGCUUUUGUACGAGGGUAAACGCAGAUACGUGUAUCUGUCUGAAAGUAUCGUACGAAUAAGGAUCGGCUAACUCCGUGCCAGCAGCCGCGGUAAUACGGAGGAUUCAAGCGUUAUCCGGAUUUAUUGGGUUUAAAGGGUGCGUAGGCGGUUUGAUAAGUUAGAGGUGAAAUUUCGGGGCUCAACCCUGAACGUGCCUCUAAUACUGUUGAGCUAGAGAGUAGUUGCGGUAGGCGGAAUGUAUGGUGUAGCGGUGAAAUGCUUAGAGAUCAUACAGAACACCGAUUGCGAAGGCAGCUUACCAAACUAUAUCUGACGUUGAGGCACGAAAGCGUGGG
This 717-nucleotide ribosomal RNA is filed under the name uncultured bacterium. Its description in RNAcentral is "bacterial SSU rRNA". It matches the Rfam family "Bacterial small subunit ribosomal RNA", at positions 56 to 765 of the family's 1533-position model. The record is from RNAcentral.